AUUGAACGCUGGCGGCAGGCCUAACACAUGCAAGUCGAGCGGAUGAAGGGAGCUUGCUCCUGGAUUCAGCGGCGGACGGGUGAGUAAUGCCUAGGAAUCUGCCUGGUAGUGGGGGAUAACGUCCGGAAACGGGCGCUAAUACCGCAUACGUCCUGAGGGAGAAAGUGGGGGAUCUUCGGACCUCACGCUAUCAGAUGAGCCUAGGUCGGAUUAGCUAGUUGGUGGGGUAAAGGCCUACCAAGGCGACGAUCCGUAACUGGUCUGAGAGGAUGAUCAGUCACACUGGAACUGAGACACGGUCCAGACUCCUACGGGAGGCAGCAGUGGGGAAUAUUGGGCAAUGGGCGAAAGCCUGAUCCAGCCAUGCCGCGUGUGUGAAGAAGGUCUUCGGAUUGUAAAGCACUUUAAGUUGGGAGGAAGGGCAGUAAGUUAAUACCUUGCUGCUUUGACGUUACCAACAGAAUAAGCACCGGCUAACUUCGUG
This 484-nucleotide ribosomal RNA is filed under the name uncultured bacterium. RNAcentral's name for it is "partial 16S ribosomal RNA". It matches the Rfam family "Bacterial small subunit ribosomal RNA", at positions 30 to 507 of the family's 1533-position model. The record is from RNAcentral.